This 963-nucleotide ribosomal RNA is filed under the name uncultured bacterium. RNAcentral describes it as "bacterial SSU rRNA". It matches the Rfam family "Bacterial small subunit ribosomal RNA", at positions 9 to 1006 of the family's 1533-position model. The record is from RNAcentral.
GAGUUUGAUCCUGGCUCAGGACGAACGCUGGCGGCGUGCCUAAUGCAUGCAAGUCGAACGCAGGGCGCUUGCGCCGCUGCGUGGCGCACGGCUGAGGAACACGUGGGUAUCUGCCCCGGAGUGGGGGAUAUCGCCGCGAAAGCGGUGGCAAUCCCGCAUACGCUCGGCAACGAGGAAAGGCGUCAGCCGCUCCGGGAUGAGCCUGCGGCCCAUCAGGUAGUUGGGGGGGUAAUGGCCUCCCAAGCCACUGACGGGUCCCUGGUCUGAGAGGACGACCAGGCAGACUGGGACUGAGAGACGGCCCAGACUCCUACGGGAGGCAGCAGCAAGGAAUUUUCCCCAAUGGGCGCAAGCCUGAGGGAGCAACGCCGCGUGGAGGAUGACGGCCUUCGGGUUGUAAACUCCUUUUGGGGGGGAAGAGCCUGACGGUACCCCCCGAAUCAGCCCCGGCUAACUCCGUGCCAGCAGCCGCGGUAAGACGGAGGGGGCAAGCGUUGUCCGGAAUCACUGGGCGUAAAGCGCGUGUAGGCGGUCGCGUGCGUCGGUGCUGAAAGCGCCCGGCUUAACCGGGCGAGGCGUGCCGAUACGAUGCGACUGGAGGCAGGCAGAGGGCGGCGGAAUUCCGGGUGUAGCGGUGAAAUGCGUAGAGCUCCGGAGGAACGCCGGUGGGGCAGCCGGCCGCCUGGGCCUGACCUGACGCUGAGACGCGACAGCGUGGGGAGCAAACCGGAUUAGAUACCCGGGUAGUCCACGCCGUAAACGCUGCCGGCUCGGUGACUGGGCGCCUGUGAAGGCGCCUGGGCGCCUUAGCUCACGCGGUAAGCCGGCCGCCUGGGGAGUACGAGCGCAAGCUUAAAACUCAAGGAAUUGANGGGGCCCGCACAAGCAGCGGAGCGUGUGGUUUAAUUCGACGCAACGCGAGCANCUUACNCAGGCUUGACAUGCCGCUGCAAGCGUCGGAAA